Molecule: transfer RNA, 61 nt
Filed under: Dermacentor steini
Lineage: Eukaryota; Metazoa; Arthropoda; Arachnida; Ixodida; Ixodidae
Description: tRNA-Ser
Source: RNAcentral
AAGAUUAAUAAAAUUAGGCUUCUAACCUAAAUUUAAUGAAAUUUCAUUUAAUCUUUAUUUA